This 385-nucleotide ribosomal RNA is filed under the name uncultured bacterium. RNAcentral's name for it is "bacterial SSU rRNA". It matches the Rfam family "Bacterial small subunit ribosomal RNA", at positions 32 to 409 of the family's 1533-position model. The record is from RNAcentral.
AAUCAACGCUGGCGGCGUGCCUCAGACAUGCAAGUCGAACGAUUAAAGCUCUCUUCGGAGAGUGCAUAGAGUGGCGCACGGGUGAGUAACACGUAAGUAAUCUACCUCUGAGUGGGGAAUACCAUCGGGAAACCGAUGCUAAUACCGCAUAAUGCAACAGCAUCGCAAGGUGCAGUUGUUAAAGAUUUAUCGCUUGGAGAGGAGCUUGCGGCAGAUUAGCUAGUUGGUAAGGUAAUGGCUUACCAAGGCUACGAUCUGUAACCGGUCUAAGAGGACGGUCGGUCACACUGACACUGAAUAACGGGUCAGACUCCUACGGGAGGCAGCAGUCGGGAAUUUUGGGUCAAUGGGCGAAAGCCUGACCCAGCAACGCCGCGUGAAGGAU